GCAGUGAUGGUUCAGUGGAAGAAUUCUUCCCUUCCAUGCAAGAGACCCAGGUUCGAUUCUUGGCCAAGGCA
This 71-nucleotide transfer RNA is filed under the name Loxodonta africana (African savanna elephant). It matches the Rfam family "tRNA". Rfam says of the family: Transfer RNA (tRNA) molecules are approximately 80 nucleotides in length. Their secondary structure includes four short double-helical elements and three loops (D, anti-codon, and T loops). The record is from Rfam by way of RNAcentral. Lineage: Eukaryota; Metazoa; Chordata; Mammalia; Proboscidea; Elephantidae.